CCCGCCCCCCGUAAGCCUAAGGGUUCUUACGGAAGGUUCGUCCGCGUAAGGUUAGGCGGGAGCUAAGGCGAGGCCGAAAGGCGUAGCCGAUGCACAGCCGGUCGACAUUCCGGCCCCGCUCAGGGAUCGCUAUGAGCCACGGAGGGACGCAGGAGGGUAGCUCUACCGGCGACCGGUCGUGCCGGGCCAACCGGGUAGGCUGGGGUCCUAGGCAAAUCCGGGACCCCGACAAGGCCGAGACGGGAGUGCGAGCGGGAUUGAGACGCCCGCGAAGUGAGUGAUCCCACACUGCCGAGAAAAGCUUCGUGGCCAGAUCCCUGGGCGCCCGUACCGCAAACCGACACAGGUAGGCAGGCACACAACGUGCCAAGGGGCGCGAGAGAACCCUCCUCAAGGAACUCGGCAACUUAGCCCCGUAACUUCGGGAGAAGGGGUGCCCCGGUAGGGUGAGGUGGCUUGCCCACCGAGCCCGAGGGGGUCGCAGUGAAUGGGCCCAAGCGACUGUUUAACAAAAACACAGGUCUCUGCUAAGCCGAAAGGCGAUGUAUAGGGGCUGACGCCUGCCCAGUGCCGGAAGGUAAAGGGGAGGGGUGAGGCCGAAAGGCGUAGCUCCAAACCGAAGCCCCGGUGAACGGCGGCCGUAACUAUAGCCA
RNAcentral lists this ribosomal RNA (653 nucleotides) under Bacillota bacterium. RNAcentral describes it as "Firmicutes bacterium (sediment metagenome) partial 23S ribosomal RNA". It matches the Rfam family "Bacterial large subunit ribosomal RNA", at positions 1329 to 1948 of the family's 2925-position model. Lineage: Bacteria; Bacillati; Bacillota. The record is from RNAcentral.